CUACGGGAGGCUGCAGUGAGGAAUAUUGGUCAAUGGGCGCGAGCCUGAACCAGCCAUCCCGCGUGCAGGAUGACGGCCCUAUGGGUUGUAAACUGCUUUUCUAUGCCAAGAAACCUGAUUACGUGUAAUCAGUUGCCGGUAGCAUAGGAAUAAGCAUCGGCUAACUCCGUGCCAGCAGCCGCGGUAAUACGGAGGAUGCAAGCGUUAUCCGGAUUCAUUGGGUUUAAAGGGUGCGCAGGUGGGCUUGUAAGUCAGUGGUGAAAUGCUGCCGCUUAACGGUAGAAGUGCCAUUGAUACUGCGAGUCUUGAGUAUGGUUGAGGUAGGCGGAAUGUGUUGUGUAGCGGUGAUAUGCAUAGAUAUGACACAGAACGCCAAUUGCGAAGGCAGCUUACUAAGCCAUUACUGACGCUGAGGCACGAAAGCGUGGGGAGCGAACAGGAUUAGAUACCCGAGUAGUC
This 459-nucleotide ribosomal RNA is filed under the name uncultured bacterium. RNAcentral describes it as "partial 16S ribosomal RNA". It matches the Rfam family "Bacterial small subunit ribosomal RNA", at positions 339 to 795 of the family's 1533-position model. The record is from RNAcentral.